This is a non-coding RNA of Neolamprologus brichardi, 349 nucleotides long. The record is from RefSeq and is a predicted model, not a curated record. Lineage: Eukaryota; Metazoa; Chordata; Actinopteri; Cichliformes; Cichlidae.
UUUCCUCAUUAAAGUUCAAAUGUGCUCUUAUUUUAGCCACAAGAGGAAACCACAGAAAAUAAAGUUGUUGCGCAGUGGAACGGCACCAUUAGGCCAGUGGAAAGUGAUUUUGGGUUCCCUCCUACAGAGCCCCUCGAACAGAGCCUCCAGAAGGACACCAAAGGAAACACACAAAAGUGAACACACACAGCAGAUGGUUCAACUCAACAGAGCAAACACAUCUGAAGUCCUGAAGGAGAAAUACUGCCAACAUGAAGUAGCCUAUGCCAUUUAUUCAUUCUGCUGCUGCUUAUUUUAAUUGUGAAUUCAAAAAAAAAUUUAAAAAAUACUGUAUGAAAAUUUCGUUUUU